UACGGAGGGUGCAAGCGUUAUCCGGAUUCACUGGGUUUAAAGGGUGCGUAGGUGGGCAAGUAAGUCAGUGGUGAAAUCUCCGGGCUUAACCCGGAAACUGCCAUUGAUACUAUUUGUCUUGAAUGCUGUGGAGGUCAGCGGAAUAUGUCAUGUAGCGGUGAAAUGCUUAGAUAUGACAUAGAACACCAAUUGCGAAGGCAGCUGGCUACACAAAUAUUGACACUGAGGCACGAAAGCGUGGGGAUCAAACAGG
This 253-nucleotide ribosomal RNA is filed under the name uncultured bacterium. RNAcentral's name for it is "partial 16S ribosomal RNA". It matches the Rfam family "Bacterial small subunit ribosomal RNA", at positions 524 to 776 of the family's 1533-position model. The record is from RNAcentral.